Molecule: ribosomal RNA, 465 nt
Filed under: uncultured bacterium
Lineage: Bacteria
Description: bacterial SSU rRNA
Rfam family: Bacterial small subunit ribosomal RNA
Source: RNAcentral
CAAGCGGUGGGGCAUGUGGUUUAAUUCGAUGCAACGCGAAGAACCUUACCUACUCUUGACAUCCAGCGAACUUAGCAGAGAUGCUUUGGUGCCUUCGGGAACGCUGAGACAGGUGCUGCAUGGCUGUCGUCAGCUCGUGUUGUGAAAUGUUGGGUUAAGUCCCGCAACGAGCGCAACCCUUAUCCUUUGUUGCCAGCGAUACGGUCGGGGACUCAAAGGAGACUGCCGGUGAUAAACCGGAGGAAGGUGGGGGUGACGUCAAGUUAUCAUGGCCCUUACGAGUAGGGCUACACACGUGCUACAAUGGCGCAUACAAAGAGAAGCGACCUCGCGAGAGCAAGCGGACCUCAGAAAGUGCGUCGUAGUCCGGAUCGGAGUCUGCAACUCGACUCCGUGAAGUCGGAAUCGCUAGUAAUCGUGGAUCAGAAUGCCACGGUGGAUACGUUCCCGGGCCUUGUACACACC